RNAcentral lists this ribosomal RNA (403 nucleotides) under uncultured bacterium. RNAcentral's name for it is "partial 16S ribosomal RNA". It matches the Rfam family "Bacterial small subunit ribosomal RNA", at positions 30 to 526 of the family's 1533-position model. The record is from RNAcentral.
AUUGAACGCUGGCGGCAGGCCUAACACCUGCAAGUCGAGCGAGCGGCGGACGGGUGAGUAAUGUAUGGGGACUGCCCGAUAGCGGGGGAUAACUACUGGAAACGGUAGCUAAUACAGCAUACUAUCGGAUAACCCAUAUGGGAUUAGCUAGUAGGUGAGGUACUGGCUCACCUAGGCGACGAUACCUCGCUGGUCUGAGAGGAUGAUCAGACACACUGGUACUUGGAUACGGCCCAGCAUCGUACGGAGGCAGCAGUGGGGAAUAUUGCACAAUGGGCGCAAGCCUGAGGCAGCCAUGCCGCGUGUAUGAAGAAGGCCCUAGGGUUGUAAAGUACUUUCAGUCGGGAGGCGUUACCGACAGAAGAAGCACCGGCUAACUCCGUGCCAGCAGCCGCGGUAAUUC